RNAcentral lists this ribosomal RNA (253 nucleotides) under uncultured bacterium. RNAcentral describes it as "partial 16S ribosomal RNA". It matches the Rfam family "Bacterial small subunit ribosomal RNA", at positions 524 to 776 of the family's 1533-position model. The record is from RNAcentral.
UACGUAGGGGGCAAGCGUUGUCCGGAUUUAUUGGGCGUAAAGAGCGUGUAGGCGGUUAGGUAGGUCCGUUGUGAAAACUCGAGGCUCAACCUCGAGACGCCGAUGGAAACCAUCUAACUAGAGUCCGGAAGAGGAGAAUGGAAUUCCUGGUGUAGCGGUGAAAUGCGCAGAUAUCAGGAAGAACACCCGUGGCUAAGGCGGUUCUCUGGGACGGUACUGACGCUGAGACGCGAAAGCGUGGGGAGCGAACAGG